This is a long non-coding RNA of Raphanus sativus (radish), 649 nucleotides long. RefSeq lists it as uncharacterized. The record is from RefSeq and is a predicted model, not a curated record. Lineage: Eukaryota; Viridiplantae; Streptophyta; Magnoliopsida; Brassicales; Brassicaceae. The transcript is spliced from 4 exons.
UUAAACAAAAUGCAUUCGUUUAAAAUAGAGAAGAAAGAGAAACGAGAGAAAGAUAGAAAAAGAGAGAGAAAAAACAGAGUUUUAUAAAAGAAAAUGGAAAGAAGAAGAAGAAGAAUCAAAAGAUAAAAAUAAAUUCAAUUCGAACAGAUUUUUGGUGAACAAAAACUCUUCAUAAUCAGAAGAAAUUGGGAGAACGACAUCUCUGAGAAUGGUUUAAUGGAAAAAACAAAACAUGAGAACUUUUCUCACACUGUGGAACAAAGGGGUUCCAAACUCAUGAUUAUGCUUUUAUGGUCUUUGUCUUGUCCAUUUUGAUACUUUCUGAGCUGAUGAAAUUGUGGACACCGUGAUGACGCUCUUUCUUGAACUCCUCCGGCGGAUGAACCUGUCCCAAUUUGUUAGCUGAUGAGCUUUAGAUGAGUGAAUCAUUGUCUCAGAUGAGUUCCUGAAAUACAACGAAGACUUUUCAAAUACUCCAUCAUGGUUGUUAUGGUUAUGAAAUCGAUGAUCGAGAUAUAUUUCUUGUUAGCUGCGACGAAAGUGUUAUUAGAUGAUACAAGUUUGUUAACUGCAAGAAAAUAUUACAAAAGGUUACUAAUAAGUGUUGUUAACUGAUACAUAAUUUGUUAACCGAUACAUGGUUUGUUAA